GCCCUUAUAGCACAGUGGUAGUGCGUCGCACUUGUACUACUGGCGUGAGAAGCGCAAGAAGCAAUGCGAAGGUCGGUUGUUCAAUCCAGCCUGGGGGCA
RNAcentral lists this transfer RNA (99 nucleotides) under Rhizoctonia solani. RNAcentral describes it as "tRNA-Thr". It matches the Rfam family "tRNA". Rfam says of the family: Transfer RNA (tRNA) molecules are approximately 80 nucleotides in length. Their secondary structure includes four short double-helical elements and three loops (D, anti-codon, and T loops). The record is from RNAcentral. Lineage: Eukaryota; Fungi; Basidiomycota; Agaricomycetes; Cantharellales; Ceratobasidiaceae.